Molecule: transfer RNA, 72 nt
Filed under: Camelus ferus (Wild Bactrian camel)
Lineage: Eukaryota; Metazoa; Chordata; Mammalia; Artiodactyla; Camelidae
Rfam family: tRNA
About the family: Transfer RNA (tRNA) molecules are approximately 80 nucleotides in length. Their secondary structure includes four short double-helical elements and three loops (D, anti-codon, and T loops). Further hydrogen bonds mediate the characteristic L-shaped molecular structure. tRNAs have two regions of fundamental functional importance: the anti-codon, which is responsible for specific mRNA codon recognition, and the 3' end, to which the tRNAs corresponding amino acid is attached (by aminoacyl-tRNA synthetases). tRNAs cope with the degeneracy of the genetic code in two manners: having more than one tRNA (with a specific anti-codon) for a particular amino acid; and 'wobble' base-pairing, i.e. permitting non-standard base-pairing at the 3rd anti-codon position.
Source: Rfam by way of RNAcentral
GAGGGUAUAGCUCAGUGGCAGAGCGCAUGCUUAGCGUGCACACGGUCCUGGGUUCAAUCCCCAGUACCUCCU